Molecule: ribosomal RNA, 238 nt
Filed under: Lytechinus pictus (painted urchin)
Lineage: Eukaryota; Metazoa; Echinodermata; Echinoidea; Temnopleuroida; Toxopneustidae
Description: partial 18S ribosomal RNA
Rfam family: Eukaryotic small subunit ribosomal RNA
Source: RNAcentral
ACUUCUUAGAGGGACAAGUGGCGUAUAGCCACGCGAGAUUGAGCAAUAACACGUCUGUGAUGCCCUUAGAUGUUCGGGGCGCACGCGCGCUACACUGGCGGAAUCAGCGGGUUCACCGCCCUUGGCCGGUAGGUCUGGGUAAUCCGCUGAACCUCCUCCGUGAUGGGGAUAGGGAAUUGCAAUUAUUUCCCUUGAACGAGGAAUUCCCAGUAAGCGCGAGUCAUCAGCUCGCGUUGAU